GUUGAUCCUAGCUUAGGAAUGAACGCUGGCGGCGUGCUUAACACAUGCAAGUCGAGCGAAGCAUUAAAACCGAUUCUUCGGAUUGAAGUUCUAAUGACUGAGCGGCGGACGGGUGAGUAACGCGUGGGUGACCUGCCUCAUACAGGGGGAUAACAGACAGAAAUGUCUGCUAAUACCGCAUAAGCGCACAGUGCUGCAUGGCACAGUGUGAAAAACUCCGGUGGUAUGAGAUGGACCCGCGUCUGAUUAGCUAGUUGGUAAGGUAACGGCUUACCAAGGCGACGAUCAGUAGCCGGCCUGAGAGGGUGAACGGCCACAUGGGACUGAGACACGGCCCAAACUCCUACGGGAGGCAGCAGUGGGGAAUAUUGCACAAUGGGGGAAACCCUGAUGCCAGCGACGCCGCGUGAAGGAAGAAGUAUUUCGGUAUGUAAACUUCUAUCAGCAGGGAAGAAAAUGACGGUACCUGACUAAGAAGCCCCGGCUAACUACGUGCCAGCAGCAGC
RNAcentral lists this ribosomal RNA (506 nucleotides) under uncultured bacterium. RNAcentral's name for it is "bacterial SSU rRNA". It matches the Rfam family "Bacterial small subunit ribosomal RNA", at positions 11 to 518 of the family's 1533-position model. The record is from RNAcentral.